UACGUAGGGUGCGAGCGUUAAUCGGAAUUACUGGGCGUAAAGCGUGCGCAGGCGGUUUUGUAAGCCAGGUGUGAAAUCCCCGGGCUCAACCUGGGAAUGGCAUUUGGGACUGCAAGGCUGGAGUGCGGCAGAGGAGACUGGAAUUCCUGGUGUAGCAGUGAAAUGCGUAGAGAUCAGGAGGAAUACCGAUGGCGAAGGCAGGUCUCUGGGCUGAUACUGACGCUCAUGCACGAAAGCGUGGGGAGCAAACAGG
This 253-nucleotide ribosomal RNA is filed under the name uncultured bacterium. RNAcentral describes it as "partial 16S ribosomal RNA". It matches the Rfam family "Bacterial small subunit ribosomal RNA", at positions 524 to 776 of the family's 1533-position model. The record is from RNAcentral.